CUUUAGCCCUGAUCGAAGCGGCAUCCUUUUUUUAAGGUAGUAGGUUGUAAACCUGCUGGCUUAAAAAAAGAUAUAGCGUAGAGCAGGACGAUAU
RNAcentral lists this small RNA (94 nucleotides) under Flavobacterium succinicans. RNAcentral describes it as "Flavo-1 RNA". It matches the Rfam family "Flavo-1 RNA". The record is from Rfam by way of RNAcentral. Lineage: Bacteria; Pseudomonadati; Bacteroidota; Flavobacteriia; Flavobacteriales; Flavobacteriaceae.